This 78-nucleotide transfer RNA is filed under the name bacterium. RNAcentral describes it as "tRNA-Ile". It matches the Rfam family "tRNA". Rfam says of the family: Transfer RNA (tRNA) molecules are approximately 80 nucleotides in length. Their secondary structure includes four short double-helical elements and three loops (D, anti-codon, and T loops). Further hydrogen bonds mediate the characteristic L-shaped molecular structure. tRNAs have two regions of fundamental functional importance: the anti-codon, which is responsible for specific mRNA codon recognition, and the 3' end, to which the tRNAs corresponding amino acid is attached (by aminoacyl-tRNA synthetases). tRNAs cope with the degeneracy of the genetic code in two manners: having more than one tRNA (with a specific anti-codon) for a particular amino acid; and 'wobble' base-pairing, i.e. permitting non-standard base-pairing at the 3rd anti-codon position. The record is from RNAcentral.
GGGCGUAUAGCUCAGUUUGGUUAGAGCGCGUCCCUGAUAAGGACGAGGUCGGUAGUUCGACUCUACCUACGCCCACCA